Neogale vison (American mink) is the source of this 276-nucleotide long non-coding RNA. RefSeq lists it as uncharacterized. The transcript has 3 exons. The record is from RefSeq and is a predicted model, not a curated record. Lineage: Eukaryota; Metazoa; Chordata; Mammalia; Carnivora; Mustelidae.
CUGACAGGGUGACGUCCAUAAUUUGAAUGAUGCUAGCUCCAGGACAGUGAGGGAAUUAUCUACAUUUCCUGGACCGAUCUUUCCUCCCCUGUAAAUGAAAUGGGUCUAAGCCCCACAAAUAGGACCGGUGAGAGGAUUGAAUGAAACCACACCGCGAGGGAAUGCCAACCUAGCACGGGCCACGGGAUAUGGUUAGCCAGCAUCGUCUCAGCAACUGUGAAGCAGUAGGAAGAAGUGCAUUUAAUGAGAAGACCGUCAGUUGGAGAGGAGAGUGUG